GAACCUUACCUGGGUUUGACAUGCACAGGACGCCGGCAGAGAUGUCGGUUCCCUUGUGGCCUGUGUGCAGGUGGUGCAUGGCUGUCGUCAGCUCGUGUCGUGAGAUGUUGGGUUAAGUCCCGCAACGAGCGCAACCCUUGUCUCAUGUUGCCAGCACGUGAUGGUGGGGACUCGUGAGAGACUGCCGGGGUCAACUCGGAGGAAGGUGGGGAUGACGUCAAGUCAUCAUGCCCCUUAUGUCCAGGGCUUCACACAUGCUACAAUGGCCGGUACAAAGGGCUGCGAUGCCGUGAGGUGGAGCGAAUCCUUUCAAAGCCGGUCUCAGUUCGGAUCGGGGUCUGCAACUCGACCCCGUGAAGUCGGAGUCGCUAGUAAUCGCAGAUCAGCAACGCUGCGGUGAAUACGUUCCCGGGCCUUGUCACACCGA
RNAcentral lists this ribosomal RNA (427 nucleotides) under uncultured soil bacterium. RNAcentral describes it as "bacterial SSU rRNA". It matches the Rfam family "Bacterial small subunit ribosomal RNA", at positions 966 to 1393 of the family's 1533-position model. The record is from RNAcentral.